AAAGGAAUAGACGGGGACCCGCACAAGCAGUGGAGGAUGGGGUUUAAUAUGACGCUAAGCGUAGAACCUUACCGAGGCUUGACAUCCUGGGAAUCUGAUCGAAAGAUCGGAGUGCCUUCGGGAAUCCAGUGACAGGUGCUGCAUGGCCGUCGUCAGCUCGUGUCGUGAGAUGUUGGGUUAAGUCCCGCAACGAGCGCAACCCUUGUCGUCUGUUGUAUUUUCAGGCGAGACUGCCCGGGCCAACCGGGAGGAAGGUGAGGACGACGUCUGGUCGGCAUGGCCCUUACGCCUCGGGCUACACCCGUCCUACAAUGGCUGGUACAACGCGUCGCCAAGUCGCAAGACGGAGCUAAUCGCACCAAAACCAGUCCCAGUUCGGAUUGGGGGCUGAAACUCGCCCCCAUGAAGUCGGAAUUGCUAGUAAUGGCAGGUCAGCUAUACUGCCGUGAAUACGUUCCCGGGUCUUGUACACACCGCCCGU
This 481-nucleotide ribosomal RNA is filed under the name uncultured bacterium. RNAcentral's name for it is "bacterial SSU rRNA". It matches the Rfam family "Bacterial small subunit ribosomal RNA", at positions 903 to 1397 of the family's 1533-position model. The record is from RNAcentral.